GAUGAACGCUGGCGGCGUGCCUAAUACAUGCAAGUCGAGCGAACGGACGGGAAGCUUACUUCUCUGAGGUUAGCGGCGGACGGGUGAGUAACACGUGGAUAACCUACCUAUACGACUGGGAUGACUUCGGGAAACCGGAGCUAAUACCGGAUAAUAUUUUGAACCUCAUUGUUCAAAAGUGAAAUACGGUCUUGCUGUCACUUAUAGCUUGAUCCGCGCUGCAUUCGCUAGUUGGUAAGGUAACGGCUUACCAACGCAACGAUGGUUAGCCGACCUGAGAGGGUGAUCGGACACACUGGAACUGAGACACGGUCCCGACUCCUACGGGAGGACGCAGUAGGGAAUCUUACGCAAUGGGCGAAAGCCUGACGGAGCACCGCCGCGUGAGUGAUGAAGGUCUUAGGACGGUAAAACUAUGUUAGUAGGGAAGAACAUAUGCGCAAGUAACUGUGCACAUAUUGACGGUACCUAAUCAGAAAGCCCCGGCUAACUACGUG
RNAcentral lists this ribosomal RNA (497 nucleotides) under uncultured bacterium. Its description in RNAcentral is "partial 16S ribosomal RNA". It matches the Rfam family "Bacterial small subunit ribosomal RNA", at positions 28 to 507 of the family's 1533-position model. The record is from RNAcentral.